RNAcentral lists this ribosomal RNA (553 nucleotides) under Microbacterium sp. DW8. RNAcentral describes it as "bacterial SSU rRNA". It matches the Rfam family "Bacterial small subunit ribosomal RNA", at positions 155 to 722 of the family's 1533-position model. Lineage: Bacteria; Bacillati; Actinomycetota; Actinomycetes; Micrococcales; Microbacteriaceae. The record is from RNAcentral.
AACGGCGUCUAAUACUGGAUAUGAGCUCCUAUCGCAUGGUGGGGGUUGGAAAGAUUUUUCGGUCUGGGAUGGGCUCGCGGCCUAUCAGCUUGUUGGUGAGGUAAUGGCUCACCAAGGCGUCGACGGGUAGCCGGCCUGAGAGGGUGACCGGCCACACUGGGACUGAGACACGGCCCAGACUCCUACGGGAGGCAGCAGUGGGGAAUAUUGCACAAUGGGCGGAAGCCUGAUGCAGCAACGCCGCGUGAGGGAUGACGGCCUUCGGGUUGUAAACCUCUUUUAGCAGGGAAGAAGCGAGAGUGACGGUACCUGCAGAAAAAGCGCCGGCUAACUACGUGCCAGCAGCCGCGGUAAUACGUAGGGCGCAAGCGUUAUCCGGAAUUAUUGGGCGUAAAGAGCUCGUAGGCGGUUUGUCGCGUCUGCUGUGAAAUCCCGAGGCUCAACCUCGGGCCUGCAGUGGGUACGGGCAGACUAGAGUGCGGUAGGGGAGAUUGGAAUUCCUGGUGUAGCGGUGGAAUGCGCAGAUAUCAGGAGGAACACCGAUGGCGAAGGC